This 1251-nucleotide ribosomal RNA is filed under the name Triticum aestivum (bread wheat). RNAcentral's name for it is "partial small subunit ribosomal RNA". Lineage: Eukaryota; Viridiplantae; Streptophyta; Magnoliopsida; Poales; Poaceae. The record is from RNAcentral.
AUGUCCACCGACCCCGACCGUGCCGCCGCCGAGAAAGCUGAAGCCGACAAGAAGGCCGCCGAGGACGCCGCUACUGCCACCAAAGCCGCGGCCUCUGCAUGGCCUACUGGAGGGUAUAACUCGUUUAUCCCGCUCCUGAUUAAUUUCAUAUUAGCAGUACUAGCAAGAGCGGCACCUGAUGGCUAUGGUGGCUUCCAGGGUCCUGUCGAAGGUUUCGUGAAGGGAACUGCUGGCCCGCGGCAGUACCAGCCACGUCGGGGUGGUCCGGCAGGCAAGGGCGACCGAUUCGGGAGGACUGGGGGCCGGAACACACGCCCACCGAGGAGGGAUCCUCCAUCGUGGUGUGUUCCGGCGUUGGUGACUCCGUCAGCAGUGGUGGAUCCAAGUUUGCAGCCAUCGGUGGUCGCGGCAUCAACAGGGCCUCAGCCGGCAGUGGUGGUGCCCGCGGUUGGUGCAACUGCUGCGGGUUCGACAACUGCUACAAGCUCGACGGCAGUGACGGUGACGUCUGUUGAUGGCGCGGCAAGGCUGCCGGGGGAGGCCAUUGUUGCGGUGGCUGCCCUUGCUGCCGUUCCAGUCAAAAAGAAGCCAAAACAUGACACGGAGUGUCCGCUUUUGUCUGUACCGGUGCCGACGGUAUCUAUUUAUGGAGUGUGUGAUGCUGCACUCAUGUUCUUCGAGACGCCUGUGAUGCAUUCUUGCAGGCCUCAUCUGGAGAAUGCUAGGACGGGCUUGAUUAGAGUCACACAUGGUACAUUGGCUGAGGAUCAGAUUAUUGCUCAACUUAGACGGCUGGUAUCGAGUUCUUUUCAGUGGGCUCUAGAGAGGAUUGGAGAUCAAGUGUACAAGGUUGAUUACCCGACUAAGGUUGAUCUAGAUAGGAUCAACAACUUUGGCAUUUGCAAGGUUCCUGGCAGCUCAUGUCGCCUUGAGUUUGAUGAGUGGAUACAAAACGAGCCGGCUGGGGUUCCUCUUACGAAAAUCUGGGUGAGACUCUCGGGAGUUCCUCCUAAACCACUUAAUGAGUAUCUUGUGGUGGUGAGUCUGGGCUCUCUGAUUAGUAAAACUCAGGAGGUGGACAUGGAUUUCACACGUAAGCAUGGGAUUGCACGGCUGCGAGUUGGGGUGAUUGAUGUGGAUUUGGUGCCUGCUAUGUUACCGUGGUUUUAUGAUGGUUUGGGAUAUGAUCUGAAACUAGAGAUUGAGGGUCAGCCUAUGGCUUUGGAUGAGGACAGAGCUAGCUUUGGAUGA